This 495-nucleotide ribosomal RNA is filed under the name uncultured bacterium. RNAcentral's name for it is "partial 16S ribosomal RNA". It matches the Rfam family "Bacterial small subunit ribosomal RNA", at positions 28 to 505 of the family's 1533-position model. The record is from RNAcentral.
GAUGAACGCUGGCGGCGUGCCUAAUACAUGCAAGUCGAGCGAACGGACGAGAAGCUUGCUUUUCUGAUGUUAGCGGCGGACGGGUGAGUAACACGUGGAUAACCUACCUAUAAGACUGGGAUAACUUCGGGAAACCGGAGCUAAUACCGGAUAAUAUUUUGAACCGCAUGGUUCAAAAGUGAAAGACGGUCUUGCUGUCACUUAUAGAUGGAUCCGCGCUGCAUUAGCUAGUUGGUAAGGUAACGGCUUACCAAGGCAACGAUGCAUAGCCGACCUGAGAGGGUGAUCGGCCACACUGGAACUGAGACACGGUCCAGACUCCUACGGGAGGCAGCAGUAGGGAAUCGUCCGCAAUGGGCGAAAGCCUGACGGAGCAACGCCGCGUGAGUGAUGAAGGUCUUCGGAUCGUAAAACUCUGUUAUUAGGGAAGAACAUAUGUGUAAGUAACUGAGCACAUCUUGACGGUACCUAAUCAGAAAGCCACGGCUAACUACG